Molecule: long non-coding RNA, 7495 nt
Filed under: Triticum aestivum (bread wheat)
Lineage: Eukaryota; Viridiplantae; Streptophyta; Magnoliopsida; Poales; Poaceae
Description: long non-coding RNA (TAES_LNC011723)
Source: RNAcentral
GUGUUGGGGAACGUUGCAGAAAAUUAAAAUUUUUCCUACGGCUUCACCAAGAUCCAUCUAUGAGUUCAUCUAAGCAACGAGCAACGGGAGAGAGAUUGCAUCUACAUACCACUUGUAGAUCGCGUGCGGAAGCUUGCAAGGUGAUGAUGGAGUCGUACUCGAACGUGAUUCUGAUCACCGAUGUCCAAGUGCUGAACGGACAGCACCUCCGCGUUCAACACACGUACGGGACGGGCAACGUCUCCUCCGUCUUGAUCCAGCAAGGAGGAAGGAGAGGUUGAGGAAGACAGCUCCACCGACAGCACGACGGCGUGGUGAUGGUGGAGAAGCAGUACUCCGACAGGGCUUCGCCGAGCGCACAACGGAGGAGGAGAGGUGUUGGGGAGGGGAGGGCUGCGCCUUGGCUUGGGUGCGGCUGCCCUCCCCUCACCCCUCUAUUUAUAGGGGGAAGGGAGAAGGGGGCCGGCCCCUCUAGAUUCCAUCUAGGGGGGGGCGGCCAAGGGGAGGGGGGACUUGCCCCCCAAGCAAGGGGGGGGCGCCCCCUCUAGGGUUCCCCCCUCAACCCUAGGCGCAAGGGCCCAGGGGAGGGGUGCGCCAAGCCCACCAGGGGCUAGCCACCUCCCCACGCAGCCCAAGUGGCCCCCCGGGAGGGGUGGCCCCUCCCGGUGGACCCCCGGAACCCUUCCGGUGGCCCCGGUACAAUACCGGUAUGCCCCCAAAACUUUCCGGUGUCCUUUUAACAACUUCCCAUAUAUAAAUCUUUACCUCCGGACCCUUCCGGAACUCCUCGUGGCGUCCGGGAUCUCAUCCGGGACUCCGAACAACAUUCGGUAGUCACGUACUAGUCUUCCUAAUAACCCUAGCGUCACCAAACCUUAAGUGUGUAGACCCUACGGGUUCGGGAGACACGCAGACAUGACCGAGACGACUCUCGGGCAAUAACCAACAGCGGGGUCUGGAUACCCAUGUUGGCUCCCACAUGCUCCUCGAUGAUUUCAUCGGUUGAACCACGAUGUCGAGGAUUCGAUCAAACCCUGUAUGCAAUUCCCUUUGUCAGUCGGUACGUUACUUGCCCGAGACUCGAUCGUCGGUAUCCCAAUACCUUGUUCAGUCUCGUUACUGGCAAGUCACUUUACUCGUACCGUAAUGCAUGAUCCCGUGGCCAACACCUUGGUCACAUUGAGCUCAUUAUGAUGAUGCAUUACCGAGUGGGCCCAGAGAUACCUCUCCGUCAUACGAAGUGACAAAUCCCAGUCUCGAUCCGUGUCAACCCAACAGAUACUUUCGGAGAUACCUGUAAUGCACCUUUAUAGUCACCCAGUUACGUUGUGACGUUUGAUACACCCAAGGCACUCCUACGGUAACCGGGAGUUACACGAUCUCAUGGUCGAAGGAAGAGAUACUUGACAUUGGCAAAGCUUCUAGCAAACGAACUAUACGAUCUUUUAUGCUAUGCUUAGGAUUGGGUCUUGUCCAUCACAUCAUUCUCCUAAUGAUGUGAUCCCGUUAUCAACGACAUCCGAUGUCCAUAGUCAGGAAACCAUGACUAUCUAUUGAUCACAACGAGCUAGUCAACUAGAGGCUCACUAGGGACAUAUUAUGGUCUAAGUGUUCACACGUGUAUUACGAUUUCCGGAUAAUACAGUUAUAGCAUGAACAAAAGACAAUUAUCAUGAACAUUGAAAUAUAAUAAUACUUUUAUUAUUGCCUCUAGGGCAUAUUUCCAACAGUCUCCCACUUGCACUAGAGUCACCAAUCUAGUUACAUUGUGAUGAAUCGAACACCCAUAGAGUUCUGGUGUUGAUCAUGUUUUGCACGCGAGAGAGGUUUAGUCAACGGAUCUGCGACAUUCAGAUCCGUGUGCACUUUGCAAAUCUCUAUGUCUCCAUCUUGAACAUUUUCACAGAUGGAGUUGAAACGACGCUUGAUGUGCCUGGUCUUCUUGUGAAACCUGGGCUCCUUGGCAAGGGCAAUAGCUCCAGUGUUGUCACAGAAGAGUUUGAUCGGCCCCGACGCAUUGGGUAUGACUCCUAGGUCGGUGAUGAACUCCUUCACCCAAAUCGCUUCAUGCGCUGCCUCCGAGGCUGCCAUGUACUCCGCUUCACACGUAGAUCCCGCCACGACGCUUUGCUUGCAGCUGCACCAGCUUACUGCUCCACCAUUCAACAUAUAUACGUAUCCGGUUUGUGACUUAGAGUCAUCCAGAUCUGAGUCGAAGCUAGCGUCGACGUAACCCUUUACGACGAGCUCUUCGUCUCCUCCAUAAACGAGAAACAUGUCCUUUGUCCUUUUCAGGUACUUCAGGAUAUUCUUGACCGCUGUCUAGUGUUCCUUGCCGGGAUUACUUUGGUAUCUUGCAACCAAACUUACGGCAAGGUUUACAUCGGGUCUGGUACACAGCAUGGCAUACAUAAUAGAUCCUAUGGCUGAAGCAUAGGGGAUGACACUCAUCUCUUCUUUAUCUUUUGACGUGGUCGGUGACUGAGCCGAGCUCAAUCUCACACCUUGUAACAUAGGCAAGAACCCCUUCUUGGACUGAUCCAUUUUGAACCUCUUCAAAAUCUUAUCAAGGUAUGUGCUUUGUGAAAGACCUAUGAGGCAUCUCGAUCUAUCUCUAUAGAUCUUGAUCCCUAAUAUAUAAGCAGCUUCUCCAAGGUCCUUCAUUGAAAAACACUUGUUCAAGUAGGCCUUAAUGCCGUCCAGAAGUUUCGUAUCAUUUCCCAUCAAGAGUAUGUCAUCUACAUAUAACAUGAGAAAUGCUACAGAGCUCCCACUCACUUUCUUGUAAACGCAGGCUUCUCCAUAAGUCUGCAUAAACCCAAACGCUUUGAUCAUCUCAUCAAAGCGAAUGUUCCAACUCCGAGAUGCUUGCACCAGUCCAUAAAUGGAUCGCUGGAGCUUGCAUACUUUGUUAGCGUUCUGAGGAUCGACAAAACCUUCCGGCUGCAUCAUAUACAGCUCUUCCUUAAGAUGUCCGUUAAGGAAUGCCGUUUUGACGUCCAUCUGCCAUAUCUCAUAAUCAUAGUAUGCGGCAAUUGCUAACAUGAUUCGGGUGGACUUCAGCUUCGCUACGGGAGAGAAUGUCUCGUCUUAGUCAAUCCCUUGAACUUGUCGAUAACCCUUAGCGACAAGUCGAGCUUUAUAGAUGGUAACAUUACCAUCCGCGUCCGUCUUCUUCUUAAAAAUCCAUUUAUUUUCUAUCGCUCGCCGAUCAUCGGGCAAGUCUAUCAAAGUCCAUACUUUGUUUUCAUACAUGGAUUCUAUCUCGGAUUUCAUGGCCUCAAGCCAUUUGUUGGAAUCCGGGCCCGCCAUCGCUUCUUCAUAGUUCGAAGGUUCAUUGUUGUCUAACAACAUGAUUUCCAUGACAGGGUUGCCGUACCACUCUGGUGCGGAACGUGUCCUCGUGGACCUUUGAAGUUCAGUAGCAACUUGAUCCGAAGUACCUUGAUCAUCAUCAUUGUUUUCCUCUUCAGUUGGUGUGGGCAUCACAGGAACGGUUUCCUGCGCUGCAUCACCUUCCCGUUCGAGAGGUAGUACUUCAUCGAGUUCUACUUUCCUCCCACUUACUUCUUUCGAGAGAAACUCUUUCUCCAGAAAGCAUCCGUUCUUGGCAACAAAGAUCUUGCCUUCGGAUCUUAAGUAGAAGGUAUACCCGACAGUUUCCUUAGGGUAUCCUAUGAAUACGCAUUUUUUCGACUUGGGUUCGAGCUUUUCAGGUUGAGGUUUCUUGACAUAAGCAUCGCAUCCCCAAACUUUUAGAAACGACAGCUUAGGUUUCUUUCCAAACCAUAAUUCAUACGGUGUCGUCUCAACGGAUUUAGACGGUGCCCUAUUUAAACUGAAUGUAGCUGUCUCUAGAGCGUAUCCCCAAAAUGACAGCGGUAAAUCGGUAAGAGACAUCAUAGACCGCACCAUAUCCAAUAGAGUGCGAUUACGACGUUUGGACACACCGUUUCGUUGAGGUGUUCCAGGCGGCGUGAGUUGUGAAACGAUUCCACAUUUUCUUAAGUGUGUACCAAAUUCGUGACUUAAGUAUUCUCCUCCACGAUCUGAUCGUAGGAACUUUAUCUUUCGGUCACGUUGAUUCUCCACCUCACUCUGAAAUUCCUUGAACUUUUCAAAGGUCUCAGACUUGUGUUUCAUUAAGUAGACAUACCCAUAUCGACUCAAGUCAUCAGUGAGAGUGAGAACAUAACGAUAUCCUCCGCGAGCCUCAACGCUCAUUGGACCGCACACAUCGGUAUGUAUGAUUUCCAACAAGUUGGUUGCUCGCUCCAUUGUUCCGGAGAACGGAGUCUUGGUCAUUUUGCCUAAGAGGCAUGGUUCGCAUGUGUCAAACGAUUCAUAAUCAAGAGACUCUAAAAGUCCAUCAGUAUGGAGCUUCUUCAUGCGCUUGACACCAAUUUGACCAAGACGGCAGUGCCACAAGUAUGUGGGACUAUCGUUAUCAACUUUACAUCUUUUGGCAUCCACACUAUGAACAUGUGUAACAUUACGCUCGAGAUUCAUUAAGAAUAAACCAUUGACCAUCGGAGCAUGACCAUAAAAUAUAUCUCUCAUAUAAAUCGAACAACCAUUAUUCUCAGACUUAAAUGAGUAGCCAUCUCGUAUUAAACGAGAUCCAGAUACAAUGUUCAUGCUCAAACAUGGCACUAAAUAACAAUUAUUAAGGUUCAAAACUAAUCUCGUAGGUAAAUGUAGAGGCAGCGUGCCGACGGCGAUCACAUCGACUCUGGAACCAUUCCCGACGCGCAUCGUCACCUCGUCCUUUGCCAGUCUCCGUUUAUUCCGCAGCUCCUGCUGUGAGUUACAAAUAUGAGCAACGGCACCGGUAUCAAAUACCCAGGAGUUACUACGAGUACUGGUAAGGUACACAUCAAUUACAUGUAUAUCAAAUAUACCUUUGGUGUUGCCGGCCUUCUUAUCCGCUAAGUAUUUGGGGCAGUUCCGCUUCCAGUGACCCUUCCCCUUGCAAUAAAAGCACUCAGUCUCAGGCUUGGGUCCAUUCUUGGACUUCUUCCCGGCAACUGGCUUACCGGGCGCGGCAACAUCUUUGCCGUCCUUCUUGAAGUUCUUCUUACCCUUGCCCUUCUUGAACUUAGUGGUCUUAUUGACCAUCAACACUUGAUGUUCUUUCUUGAUUUCAGCCUCUGCUGACUUCAGCAUCGAGAACACUUCAGGAAUGGUCUUUACCAUCCCCUGCAUGUUGUAGUUCAUCACAAAGCUCUUGUAGCUUGGUGGGAGCGACUGGAGGAUUCUGUCAAUGACCGCCUCAUCUGGGAGGUUUAUGUUCAGCUGGGUCAUACGGUUGUGCAACCCAGACAUCUUCAGGAUGUGCUCACUGACAGAACUGUUUUCCUCCAUCUUACAACUAUAGAACUUGUCGGAGACAUCAUAUCUCUCGACCCGGGCAUGAGCUUGGAAAACUAGUUUCAGCUCUUCAAACAUCUCAUAUGCUCCGUGGUGCUCAAAACGCUUUUGGAGCCCCGGUUCUAAGCUGUAAAGCAUGCCGCACUGAACGAGGGAGUAAUCAUCAGCACGAGCUUGCCAAGCGUUCAUAACGUCUUGGUUCUCUGGGACGGGAGCGUCACCUAGCGGUCCUUCUAGGACAUAUUGCUUCCUGGCAGCUAUGAGGAUGAUCCUCAGGUUCCGGACCCAGUCCGUAUAGUUGCUGCCAUCAUCUUUCAGCUUGGUUUUCUCUAGGAACGCGUUGAAGUUCAUGUUGACAUUAGCGUUGGCCAUUGAUCUACAAGACAUAUUUGCAAAGGUUUUAGACUAAGUUCAUGAUAAUAAAGUUCUAAUCAAAUUAUGAACUCCCACUUAGAUUAGACAUCCCUCUAGUCAUCUAAGUGUUACACGAUCCGAAUCGACUAGCCCGUGUCCGAUCAUCACGUGAGACGGACUAGUCAUCGUCAGUGAACAUCUUCAUGUUGAUCGUAUCUUCCAUACGACUCGUGUUCGACCUUUCGGUCUCCGUGUUCCGAGGCCAUGUCUGCACAUGCUAGGCUCGUCAAGUUAACCCUAAGUGUUUUCGCUGUGUAAAACUGUCUUACACCCGUUGUAUGUGAACGUAAGAAUCCAUCACACCCGAUCAUCACGUGGUGCUUAGAAGCGACGAAAUGUAGCAACGGUGCACAGUUAGGGGAGAACACUUCUUGAAAUUUUGUAAGGGAUCAUCUUAUUUACUACCGUCAUCCUAAGUAAACAAGAUGUAAAAGCAUAAUAAACAUCACAUGCAAUUAUAUAUUUGUGACAUGAUAUGGCCAAUAUCAUAAAGCUCCAUUGAUCUCCAUCUUCGGGGCUCCAUGAUCAUCUUGUCACCGGCUUGACACCAUGAUCUCCAUCAUCAUGAUCUCCAUCAUCGUGUCUUCAUGAAGUUGUCACACCAACGACUACUUCUACUUCUAUGACUAACGCGUUUAGCAAUGAAGUAAAGUAGUUUACAUGGCGUUCUUCAAUGACACGCAGGUCAUACAAAAAAUAAAGACAACUCCUAUGGCUCCUGCCGGUUGUCAUACUCAUCGACAUGCAAGUCGUGAAUCCUAUUACAAGAACAUGAUCUCAUACAUCACAAUUCAUCAUUCAUCACAACUUCUGGCCAUAUCACAUCACAUGAUCAAUCGCUGCAAAAACAAGUUAGACGUCCUCUAAUUGUUGUUGCAUCUUUUACGUGGCUGCGAUUGGGUUCUAGCAAGAACGUUUUCUUACCUACGAAUCACCACAACGUGAUUUUGUCAACUUCUAUUUACCCUUCAUAAGGGCCUUGUUCAUCGAAUCCGCUCCAACUAAAGUGGGAGAGACAGACACCCGCCAGCCACCUUAUGCAACUAGUGCAUGUCAGUCGGUGGAACCGGUCUCACGUAAGCGUACGUGUAAGGUUGGUCCGGGCCGCUUCAUCCCACAAUACCGUUGAGCAAGAAAAGACUAGUAGAGGCAAGUAAGAUGACAAGAUCAACGCCCACAACAAAUUGUGUUCUACUCGUGCAUUAGAGAACUACGCAUAGACCUAGCUCAUGAUGCCAUUGUUGGGGAACGUUGCAGAAAAUUAAAAUUUUUCCUACGGCUUCACCAAGAUCCAUCUAUGAGUUCAUCUAAGCAACGAGCAACGGGAGAGAGAUUGCAUCUACAUACCACUUGUAGAUCGCGUGCGGAAGCUUGCAAGGUGAUGAUGGAGUCGUACUCGAACGUGAUUCUGAUCACCGAUGUCCAAGUGCUGAACGGACAGCACCUCCGCGUUCAACACACGUACGGGACGAGCGACGUCUCCUCCGUCUUGAUCCAGCAAGGAGGAAGGAGAGGUUGAGGAAGACAGCUCCACCGGCAGCACGACGGCGUGGUGAUGGUGGAGAAGCAGUACUCCGACAGGGCUUCGCCGAGCGCACAACGGAGGAGGAGAGGUGUUGGGGAGGGGAGGGCUGCGCCUUGGCUUGGGUGCGGCUUCCCUCCCCUCACCCCUCUAUUUAUAGGGGGAAGGGAGAAGGGGGCCGGCCCCUCU